RNAcentral lists this transfer RNA (72 nucleotides) under Oryctes borbonicus. It matches the Rfam family "tRNA". From Rfam's summary of the family: Transfer RNA (tRNA) molecules are approximately 80 nucleotides in length. The record is from Rfam by way of RNAcentral. Lineage: Eukaryota; Metazoa; Arthropoda; Insecta; Coleoptera; Scarabaeidae.
AAUUCUGUGGUGUAGUUGGUAGCACGCCUGUCAUGCAAAUAGGAGUCGUAGAUUCGAACCUUAGCGGAAUCA